GGCCUCCUUGCCCUACAGUCCCCUGGGCCCAGAUAAGUGGUGGCCUGACUUUCAGGUCCAUUUCAACUCUGAAAUUGGAUUGCGUCGGGGCCUCUGAGUUCGCGAAAGAGCUGCUAAGUCUGAGCGCUCGUGGGGCCGCGCGCAGGGGGACGGCCUGCGGCGCGACGAGAGGGAACUACCCAGCCUGGAGCCUAGGGAAGCGCCUCGCCCCGCCCAGCCCGGGGUCGCGCCCCAUUCAACCGGCCCCCUCUCCAGUCUCCAGUUCCGACGGCCAGAUACAACAUCCAGGAUCACUUGCAUCCCUCCACUUCUAAACGUUUCUUCUCAAAAUGGUUCCUGGUGCGUUUUGACUGGACAUUCCUCCCUUCUGCCUCACUGCAUGUCGCCUGUUUUUCCUGGCCGAGACACUGACGGGUGGUCCACUCUUCCAUAGGACAGCUGUAAAGAGUUGCUCUGGUGGGGACCGCCCACCGAGCUCCCUGCUCCCCACUGAGCACUAUCUGGGCAAUUCAGUCUCAGCAAUAGGACCUCCAACCUGGGGGCUCUUCCGACGAAACCAAUGAAAGAAGGAAAGGAAAGCAGUGGAGAUGGUGGCUGCACACCCCCAAACUUUGACCUCAGAGAAGGAAAACCCUCGAAUACUGCUUCUCCCCAUCGUGUAUUGUAUUCCUGAAACCUGGAAAUGAAAAUGGAAAUGGUUUGAUGUAUGAGGGGACGUUAUCUAAUUAGGGCAUAAGAAAUUUAAUCUUUGCAGCAUGCAGGUCAUAUAAUUAAUGUUAAUUUAACGCUCAAAUUCUCAGUCAUUAAUUUUUAUUCUCUUAAAUGCAGUUUGGCAGGGGCCCCUGAUCCAUGGCAAUGGAUUUUGCUGGAUGUAAGAGCACACUUGGUCUUAGGAGUGACUCACCACAGACCUUCCCAUCCCAAUAACAAGAUCACAUCAUGUAUGCAUUAUUAAGCCACGUAAUUGAACAGUCCAUAGUUUGCAUAUCAGACUAUUAAAAUAAUGUGUUUUGCUUUUCUCCGAACACGAAUUGUUUAAGCCUCUGCGAAUAUGUGGCGAUUCUGAUAAUUAUCACCAAAUUACUGGAAAUGUUCUCUUCAUUAACGUGAUUUCUUUCAAGCAUUUUUUAAAAUGAGAAUAUUAUUAUGAAUUAAGAAACUUCUUACAAAGUUGUGUCAACUUUUUUUAAGACACUUGUCACUUGGAAGGAAAGAAUGUAUUUUAAAUGGAAGAGGGAGAGAAAUUCUCUUGACUAUGCCUUUCAAAUGGCUUCAUCUGGCCAAAUAAAUGUUUUCUCUCUAGUUUUUCAGACAGCUUCUAGGUAAGAGACAGACACAGAGAAAGAAAGGGAGAAAGACAGAGAGAGGAGGAGGAGGAGAGAGAGAGAAUUUAAAAGUCACAGGGGAGUAAGAAAAUUAAUUUCUAAAAGUUUUUACUAUCUGACUCCCUUCUGGUGUAGAUAACUUGAUCCCACAAGAAAAUCUUAACUUUUGACCUUAUCUACAGUAAAUGGAUAUUCUCACCUUAAAAAAAAAAAAAACUUAAAAUUUUCUACAGCUAACAGCUCACAAUUAACUAAAUAGUGUUGCUUUCCCCUAGCUAUUCUGAGCAAUGUGAUUGGAGAAAUUAUUCGCGGUAAAGAGCUUUUAUUGUAACCUUCCUUUCCCACACUGUUUUAGAAGCUGAAUAGCAAAAUAUUGGAAGGAAGGAAGGAAGGAAGGAAGGAGGGAAGGAAGGAAGGAGGGAAGGAAGGAAGGAAGGAAGGGAGAAAGGAAGGAGGGAGAGAGGAAGGAGGGAGAGAGGAAGGAAGGAAGGAGAGAGAAAGAAAAAACACUAUU
This 1839-nucleotide long non-coding RNA is filed under the name Sus scrofa (pig). Its description in RNAcentral is "lncRNA (ENSSSCG00045024308.1)". The record is from RNAcentral. Lineage: Eukaryota; Metazoa; Chordata; Mammalia; Artiodactyla; Suidae.